Unclassified non-coding RNA from Callithrix jacchus (white-tufted-ear marmoset), 299 nucleotides. It matches the Rfam family "Metazoan signal recognition particle RNA". From Rfam's summary of the family: The signal recognition particle (SRP) is a universally conserved ribonucleoprotein. Lineage: Eukaryota; Metazoa; Chordata; Mammalia; Primates; Cebidae. The record is from Ensembl.
GCUGGGUGUGGUGGGCAUGCCUGUAGUCCCAGCUACUUGGGAGGCUGAGGCUGGAGGAUUGCUUGAGUCCAGAAGUUCUGGGCUGUAGUGCACUAUGCCAAUUGGGUGUCCGCACUAAGUUCGGUGUAAGUAUGGUGACCUCCUGCGAGUAGGGGACCGCCAGGUUGCUUAAGGAGGAGUGAACCGGCUCAGGUAGGAAACGGAGCCAGUCAAAACUCCCAUGCUGAUCAGUAGUGGGAUCGUGCCUGUGAAUAGCCACUGCGUGCCAGCCUGGGCAACAUAGCAAGACCUUGUCUCUA